Molecule: long non-coding RNA, 1439 nt
Filed under: Canis lupus familiaris (dog)
Lineage: Eukaryota; Metazoa; Chordata; Mammalia; Carnivora; Canidae
Description: lncRNA (ENSCAFG00030013458.1)
Source: RNAcentral
ACCCACACAAGUAAGCACAGAGGGGCGCAGGCGGCAGGUGAGUCAGUCACCGGUGGGGGCUCCAAGAGUGCCAUCCACCUGCUCCUCCGGCGGCGCAGUCAGUGAGCGCAGCUGUGCGCGGGGUGGGAGCCACCCCUGCCCUGAGCGCCUACAGGUCUCACCAGCCUCGGGAAGGGCGGGGGGGGGGGGGGGCUGCGUACAGAGUGGUCACACGGGGAGAAGUGAACGGAGCCAGGACUGAAACAGCCUCACCAGCCCCCGCCAGCUGUCCGCUGCAGGCUGAAGCUUCCAGGCAAGCUCUUGAGAUCCACGCACUUUGGAGCAGCAGGCAGACCCUCAGGAUGACUUGUGUUCCCAGUCUUUAUGCCUCAGGUCAUCCUAUGGUUGUGAAAACUCCUAUUAAAUGCCUUCAUACCUGUUAGAGUCAGCAACUGCGUGCAUCUGGUCACGGCGACGGCGGCUCUGAUGGUGAUAGUGGCGCAGGUGGCUCUGAUGGUGACAGUGCAGGCAAUGGUGACAAUGUGAUGAUGGCAGAGGCGGCAUUGGUGGUGAAGGUGGCAGAGGUGAUAUAGGAGAUGAUGAUGGUACUAAUGAGGGAGGUGGUUGAGGUGGAAACGGUGGUGUUGUAGGGGAUGGUGAUCGUAGAAAUGGUCGUCAUGGUAACGUGGUGGAGGUGAAGAUGGUGGUGGUGACAACAGUGACUGUGGCGAUGCUGGUGGUGGUAGUGGUGGUGAUGAGGGCCAUCCUGGUGGUCAAGGUAAUGUGAAUACUGGUUGAGGUGGAGGUGGGUGGUUAUGGUGAUGGUGGAGGUGGCGUCAGAGGUGGGAUGGUGGCAGUGAUGAUGAUGGUGCUGGUCUGGGCAACAGCAGUGAUGGGCCUCGUGGAUGUCACAGUGACAGUGAUACUGGUUGAGGUGAUGGAGGGACGGUGGGAUGUGGUGGUGGUGAUGGUGGUGGUGGCGUGAUGAUUGUGAUGUGGUGUGGUCAGUGAUGAUACUGGCUGAGGAGGAGAUGGUCAUGUGGUGAUGACAGUGACGGCAGGAAUGACAGGAGUAGUAGUGGUGAUGACAGUGAAGGGAGGAAUGAUGGUAUGUUUAUGGCGAUGGUAAUAGGGUAAUGUGACAUUGGUCGGGGGGUGGUUGGCGACAACGGCAUCACUACAACUGAAGCCUGAGGAUCCCAUAGCAAUGUAAUUGAGGCAGUGUGUGGGUGGUUUCAUCAAGGGACAAGGGAUCCAGGGUGUUGAGAUACCCCAGAUCCCACAGAUACUUCCCCUCAAGCCAGGCGCCCCUUGCCCUGCCUCGCCUGAGCCUUGUGCUGCCUGCACUGUCUUUCCAGGGAGGAACUUUCCUGGCCACUGCUGGCUCCGGAGCCCCCGCAGCAAGAUCUCUGCACUGCUCUGACCUCAGGCCCUGUGCUUGUGGCCCCCACCCCGGGGUG